RNAcentral lists this small nuclear RNA (385 nucleotides) under Erinaceus europaeus (western European hedgehog). RNAcentral's name for it is "7SK RNA". It matches the Rfam family "7SK RNA". Rfam says of the family: 7SK was discovered as an abundant small nuclear RNA in the mid-70s but a possible function has only recently been suggested. Two independent studies have found that 7SK RNA binds the CDK9/cyclin T complex (known as elongation factor P-TEFb). The record is from Rfam by way of RNAcentral. Lineage: Eukaryota; Metazoa; Chordata; Mammalia; Eulipotyphla; Erinaceidae.
AGAUGUGAGGGCGAUCUGGCUGCGACAUCUGUCACUCCAUUGAUCGCCAGGGUUGAUUCAGCUGAUCUGGCUCCCUAGGCGGGUGUCCCCUUCCUCCCUCACCGCUCCAUGUGUGUCCCUCCCAAAGCUGCGCACCCCCUCAGUCAAAGAAGACGGCCUUCCCCAAAUAGAGGCGGACCAGUCUUCUUCGGUCAAGGGUAUAAGUAGCUGCGCUCCCUUGUUAGAACUUCCAAACAAGCACUCAAGGUCAAAAAUAAAAUAAAUCUGAGAGAGAGAGAGAGAGUUUGGGAAGGAGGGAGAGGAGAGAGAGAAUGCCAGGGUACAAGGUACUCUAAACCCAUAAUUCUCAGGCUCAGUCAGGAAUCAGCACAUGGCGGGGCUUCCU